RNAcentral lists this ribosomal RNA (499 nucleotides) under uncultured bacterium. Its description in RNAcentral is "partial 16S ribosomal RNA". It matches the Rfam family "Bacterial small subunit ribosomal RNA", at positions 28 to 507 of the family's 1533-position model. The record is from RNAcentral.
GACGAACGCUGGCGGCGUGCUUAACACAUGCAAGUCGAACGGGCCCGCUCUCUUUUUUGGGGGUGGGUUGAGUGGCGAACGGGUGAGUAUCACGUGAGUAACCUGCCCCCUGCUCCUGGAUAACUGCUUGAAAGGGCGGCUAAUACGGGGUGUGCCGGCUGGUCCGCAUGGGCCUGGUCGGGAUAGUUUCAUCUUCGGGUGUUUCGGUGGGGGAUGGGCUCGCGGCCUAUCAGCUUGUUGGUGGGGUGAUGGCCCACCAAGGCGGUGACGGGUAGCCGGCCUGAGAGGGUGGGCGGCCACACUGGGACUGAGACACGGCCCAGACUCCGGCGGGAGGCAGCAGUGGGGGGUAUUGAGCAAUGGGCGGAAGCCUGAUGCAGCGACGUCGCGUGAGGGAUGGAGGCCUUCGGGUUGUGAACCUCUUUCUCCGGUGGUGAAGGCCCUGUCCGUUGCGGCGGGGUUGACGGUAGCCGGGUAUGAAGCGCCGGCUAACUACGUG